CGUUCCCGGGCCUUGUACACACCGCCCGUCAAGUCACGAAAGUUGGUAACACCCGAAGCCGGUGGCCUAACCCCUUGUGGGAGGGAGCUGUCGAAGGUGGGACUGGCGAUUGGGACUAAGUCGUAAACAAGGUACC
This 136-nucleotide ribosomal RNA is filed under the name uncultured bacterium. RNAcentral's name for it is "partial 16S ribosomal RNA". It matches the Rfam family "Bacterial small subunit ribosomal RNA", at positions 1369 to 1500 of the family's 1533-position model. The record is from RNAcentral.